RNAcentral lists this ribosomal RNA (252 nucleotides) under uncultured bacterium. RNAcentral describes it as "partial 16S ribosomal RNA". It matches the Rfam family "Bacterial small subunit ribosomal RNA", at positions 524 to 775 of the family's 1533-position model. The record is from RNAcentral.
UACGAAGGGGGCGAGCGUUGUUCGGAUUUACUGGGCGUAAAGGGCGCGUAGGCGGCGCGAGAAGUCGAGUGUGAAAGCCCCGGGCUCAACCUGGGAAUGGCGCUCGAUACUCUUGUGCUUGAGUUCGGGAGAGGAGCGUGGAAUUCCCAGUGUAGAGGUGAAAUUCGUAGAUAUUGGGAAGAACACCGGUGGCGAAGGCGGCGCUCUGGACCGAGACUGACGCUGAGGCGCGAAAGCGUGGGGAGCAACCGG